Molecule: ribosomal RNA, 403 nt
Filed under: Verrucomicrobiota bacterium
Lineage: Bacteria; Pseudomonadati; Verrucomicrobiota
Description: Verrucomicrobia bacterium partial 16S ribosomal RNA
Rfam family: Bacterial small subunit ribosomal RNA
Source: RNAcentral
UGGGGAAUAUUGCACAAUGGGGGAAACCCUGAUGCAGCGACGCCGCGUGAGCGAAGAAGGCUUUCGAUUCGUAAAGCUCUGUCCUAUGAGAAGAUAAUGACGGUAUCAUAGGAGGAAGCCCUGGCUAAAUAUGUGCCAGCAGCCGCGGUAAUACGUAUGGGGCGAGCGUUGUCCGGAAUUAUUGGGCGUAAAGGGUACGUAGGUGGUUUUUUAAGUCAGGUGUCAAAGCGUGGAGCUUAACUCCAUUAAGCACUUGAAACUGAAAGACUUGAGUGAAGGAGAGGAAAGUGGAAUUCCUAGUGUAGCGGUGAAAUGCGUAGAUAUUAGGAGGAAUACCGGUGGCGAAGGCGACUUUCUGGACUUUUACUGACGCUCAGGUACGAAAGCGUGGGGAGCAAACAGG